This 253-nucleotide ribosomal RNA is filed under the name uncultured bacterium. Its description in RNAcentral is "partial 16S ribosomal RNA". It matches the Rfam family "Bacterial small subunit ribosomal RNA", at positions 524 to 776 of the family's 1533-position model. The record is from RNAcentral.
UACGAAGGUGGCAAGCGUUGUUCGGAUUUACUGGGCGUACAGGGCGCGUAGGCGGUUGGGUCAGCCCUCCGUGAAAUCUCCAGGCUUAACCUGGAAAGUGCAGAGGGGACUGUUCAGCUAGAGGAUGGGAGAGGAGCGCGGAAUUCCCGGUGUAGCGGUGAAAUGCGUAGAGAUCGGGAGGAAGGCCGGUGGCGAAGGCGGCGCUCUGGAACAUUUCUGACGCUGAGGCUCGAAAGCGUGGGGAGCAAACAGG